RNAcentral lists this ribosomal RNA (460 nucleotides) under uncultured bacterium. RNAcentral describes it as "bacterial SSU rRNA". It matches the Rfam family "Bacterial small subunit ribosomal RNA", at positions 338 to 795 of the family's 1533-position model. The record is from RNAcentral.
CCUACGGGGGGCAGCAGUGAGGAAUAUUGGACAAUGGGCGCAAGCCUGAUCCAGCCAUGCCGCGUGCAGGAUGACGGUCCUAUGGAUUGUAAACUGCUUUUGCACAGGAAGAAACACCCCCUCGUGAGGGGGCUUGACGGUACUGUGAGAAUAAGGAUCGGCUAACUCCGUGCCAGCAGCCGCGGUAAUACGGAGGAUCCAAGCGUUAUCCGGAAUCAUUGGGUUUAAAGGGUCCGUAGGCGGUUUAGUAAGUCAGUGGUGAAAGCCCAUCGCUCAACGGUGGAACGGCCAUUGAUACUGCUAGACUUGAAUUAUUAGGAAGUAACUAGAAUAUGUAGUGUAGCGGUGAAAUGCUUAGAGAUUACAUGGAAUACCAAUUGCGAAGGCAGGUUACUACUAAUGGAUUGACGCUGAUGGACGAAAGCGUGGGUAGCGAACAGGAUUAGAUACCCGGGUAGUC